Non-coding RNA from Heterocephalus glaber (naked mole-rat), 5179 nucleotides. The record is from RefSeq and is a predicted model, not a curated record. NCBI's taxonomy places the organism in Eukaryota, Metazoa, Chordata, Mammalia, Rodentia, Bathyergidae.
CCGGGACCUCAUGCUCCCUUGGGAACCAUAACUCAGGCAUCAGAAACCUUCUGGCCCACAUGUUCCUCCUCCCUCAGCAACUACACUCCUCAGCAAGAAAAACCUGUGUUCCAAACUAGGUGAACCUGCGAUAAAUAUCCCGGAAUCCCUCACAGAUCAUCUGGUCCGCCUCUCAACCAGGAAGUUCAAAGGACGCUGGGCUGUACAGCCAAACAGCAAAUCCAAAACUCAAAAUGACGUGAGCCAAGAGGAAGGUGGUUUUUCAAUAGGGUUCACCCAGUGGAACUGGUUGGCUGUCCUUUUUUUCCCCUGGCCGAGGCCCCCGGCUUCCUGUAGACGGUGCUAACCCUGGGAGGUCUGUCCAGACGUGGGCAGGUGUGGGGCAUGUCACCCUCUGGGCAUCUGCUGUCGCCGCCGCUGGGGCCCUGGACCCAAUCGUGGUCCACGGUCCGGAUGACGCACCUGGCCAGGGUCCCGUCCACGUGCGGGGCCGAGAGCGCGUCCCCAGCUGGGGGACCCCGCGCCUGCCCGCAGGGAGGGGGCAGGAGGGCACCUGGGGCUCCAGCCUCAGGGCUCCCGCGGUCCCCAGCCGGGCAUCGGGUUGCAGGAGGAGCGCGCUUCUCGCCACCUCCUGCCGGGCGUCCAGCGCAUCUCCCAGUCUGCAGAGCGUCUGAGUGGGGCGCGUGGCCUGCGGGCUCAGUGAACAGAACGAUGGGCUCAAAUCCACUCACCUGGCUGCUCUGUGAAGUUCUCUGCCUAUAAGCCCAGCUGAAGGUGUCCUUGGUGUGACCUUCAGCCCUGAUGGUGUUUUGGAGAGUGGCAGACCAAAGCCAGAGCACGGAGCUGGACCCAUUGAUAGCAAGAGUGGCCUACGACUCCCUAGUGUACUUCUCCUCCUUAAACUGGACAAGGAAACUGAGGCUCAAGGACAUUACCUAACAUCUGCAAGGCCACAAAUUGAGAAAACUGGAAAUCAGGUCUAUCCUGUGCUACAUAAGAAUAAGUAGUUGCAAUACAGGCUGAGAGAGGCUGCUGGGCCAUGGUGACCUAACAUGGUCGGAGCUGGGGGAACAUAUUUGCGAUUGCAUCUCACCAUCCCUCCAACCUCCUGCUGUCGCUUUCCAUUGACAAACACAACAGGAAGCCAAGAACAAGGAAGCAGGAAAGCCAGAGGACAAAGUGCGAGCAACGAUGGAGAAGAUGCAGUAACACUGCAGUAAGUGCCAGAAAAGAAAUGUGAGGUUUCACGAAGUGAAAAUUGCUUUUCCUUCCAUCCAGCUCAUGCCUGCCCUGUGCAGGGGCUUCUUAGACAGGUAACUACUUGCAACUUCCUUUGUUUAAGGAAAUGAGGGUCAAUCCAGUGCUUAGGGUACUACUUGCCUUUGUUCAAGGACUCUCCUUUUAAAAGAGUAACAUGGUGAAGCUUGUGAAGCCUAAUUUUCCCAGGAAUGCAACAUUUGUUUAAAGGUAUUACCGUCAGGAUUUUUUGGUCCUCAGGGUAUAGCAAGUUUCCCUUCUGGUUUUUGUAUGAUGAAUACGAAUGAUCCAGAUGGGGAGUGUAAGUGACAUAACAGCACCAGGACGGAUUGUAAAGGGAUCAGCAACCUAUAAGCUGGUGAAAUGCUACUGUGGCUAAGGAUGGGCCAGGCCUCUUCGCUAAGUGGCUGGCUGCUCUACUAGCUUAGCAUUUAUCCCGUUUACCUCUAUGUUUUUCUAACUUUGUUUGUUUGUUUGUUUUCAUUCCUUGGAGCUGUGAAGGACUGCAAGUGAUAGUUACAAAUAUAACCAAGUAGCUGUGAACGUGGAUUUGUGGCCAUGUUGCUCUGGGAAUUGGAACCCAGCAAUGAAUGUGACCACAGCAAUUGACUUCAAGUCUUUCUCACCUCCUGUAAGUGGGAAACAAAGUAAUGCUACCCACCCGAUGGGGUUGUAAGGAUUCAACUGGAGAAUUUUUGUGAAAUGCUUGGCCCAGACUCUAUAGUCAUUAAGAAUUCUGUUGAUUACAAGCUACAAUAAUUAUAUGCUGACUUCUAAAAAUAAGCUCAAAAUUUUAAAUGUGGUAUAAAACCAUAAAAUUUACCAUUUUAAAAUUUACAAUUCAGUAGUGUUCAGUAUGUUCACAUUGUUGUAAAACAGAAUUCAGAACUUUUUCAUCCUGUAAACUGAGACUUCAUUUUAAAAGAAUAGUUUUAAAUUUACAGGAAAAUUGAAAAGACAGUACAGAGAAUUCUCAUAUGCCCAUCACCCAAUUCCCUCACAUUAACAUCAUGUGGUAUAUUUGCUGUAACUAUUGUUUGCUAAAGCCAAUACUUUAUCCAGAUUUUCUUAGGUUUCCUUUAGCUUUUCUGUUCUAAGAUCCUAUCCAGUGUUCAGCAUGUCACCUAGUUGUCGUGUCUCUUCAGCUUCCCCUUGGAUGUGACAGUUUCUCAGACUCCUCAUUUUUGAUAACCUGGACCGUUUUGAGAAGAACCUGUGAGGUAUUUUGUAGACCUCCUUUCAUCUUGGAUUUAUGUGAUAUUUUUCUCUUGAUUAGACUGGGCUAAGAGUACAUACUAUCAGUAUGACAUUCCUGUUGAUGUUGAUAUUCAUUACCCAGCUAAAAUAAUGUUUGUCAGGUUGCUCACUGUAAUGUUACAAGGGUCUCAAUUUGUGAUUCCCUAAUAAAAUGAUACUGAGGCUCUUUUCAAAUCUUUAUGUGUCUUCUGUAUAUUUUCUUUGGUGAGAUGGCUGUUCAAAUCUUUUGCCCUUUUUUUAAGUUGUUUUUUUUCUUUUUGCUGAAGUUUAAGCUUUUUUUUAAAAAAUAUAUUUUGGAUACAAGGAGCUUAGGAGGUAUGGUCCCUACAUCUGGUAGUGGUAAUUGCCCUCUGAACCCGAGACAAAGGAUUUCCACCUCACAGUGUCACCCUGUUUAGCUAUUCAGGGGUCCCCACCGGUGCAGAUGCUGUGUCCCACACGGUAGCCUGAGGUUGCCCGUCAUGGUGGGUAGACAGCGGCUUCGGAGACUGCUGGGGUUUCCUGCUGAAGAUGGAAGGGGAGCUGAGUACACACAGCUUUUCCUAAAAACCCUUCUUGGCUUUGAUCCUGUUCAUGCUGUUUUACUCAGAACCCUAGAGUACUAGUAGCUUAUAAAGUGGGGACGGUCAGCAUUUCGGAGCCUAAAAGUCAUUAUUUUCUGAGUCACCUCUAAUAAACUCAUUUACUCACAAACUGGACUCAUCCAAGGCAUUCUUUGGACUGUCAGUACCCUCUCAAUCCAGAGGCAGGUAUUUCUUCUGUGUCUGGGAAAUUCAUACAACACUAAUCUAUUUAUUUUUAAUGUCUCCCACAGAAUGAAAGCUUUUGGUUUUAAUAAAGUCCAUCUCAUGAAUAUUUUCUUUCACGGACAAUGAUUAGAUGAUUUUACAACUAGAAACUCACCAUUAAACACAAGUUCACAUUGCUUCACAGCUUUGCUGUUUUCUGGCAGUUUUAUAGUUUUGUAUUUUAUAUGUAACAUGUAGAAAGCUGUACUUCUGUGUAAUUGCACUUACAGCUUCAUUAUAGCACUUGCAAUCUCAUGUUGAAGAUGUGGAGAGAAGAGAACCUUUAUAGGUUUGUAGCAGGACUGCAAUUAGUGCAAUUAAUGCAGCCAUUGAUGCAUCAAUUAGUGCAGCCAUUAAUGAAAGCAUGAAGGUUUCUCAAAAAAACUUAAACAUAGACCUAGCAUAUGAUCCAGUGCUAGCUCUACAGUAUAUCCGAAAGAAAUGGAAUCGGUAUGGCAAGGAGGCAACUGCACACACACAUCCAUUGCAGCACUAAUCAUGAUACGCAAGUUGGAGAAUCAACCUGUGUUCAUCAAGAGACAGGUAAAGAAAAUGGGCCCAUGUGUGCACAGUGGAAUAUGGUCUGGCUUCCACAGAGAAGAAAACCCGGGCAUUUGCAGGAACGUGGAAGGAAUUGGAUGACCUUAUGUUAAGUGAAAUAAGCCAGGCACAGAGAGACAAGUACCACACCAUCUCAUUUCUCUGUGGACUCUGAAAAUGUCAAACUCGAGGAAGCAGAGCGGAGUGACAGUUAACAGUCAUGGAAGUGGACGUGGGAGCAGGACUGGGGAGACGUCUGUCAAAGGGUGCAAAAUUUCUGUUAGAUGGAAGGAGUGAGUUCAAAAAAUCUGCUGUGGAACAUGGUGAGGACAGCUGAUAACAAUGUGUUGUAUCCUAAGAGCAGUGCAGAUUUUAACUAUUCUCACCCAAAUAAUGGAUAAGUAUGUAAAAUAAUGCAUUUGCAAUUAGUUUGAUUUAGCCACUACACAGUGAAUAUAUAUUUCAGAACCUAUGGUAGAUACCAUAAAUAUAAUACAUUCUUUCAAUUUAAAAAUAAUUUAAAAGAAAAUCUUUGUAUAUUAAGAUAAAAAUAUAUUAAAAACUUUGUUGUAUUAUUAAAUAAAAUAUUUUUGUCUUUAUGGGACAAUCCAAUCAUCGAAUCAUAGACUCUAUGUACACAGCAAAAUGCUUUUCAAUGUUUUUGUGCCAUAAGCCACAUAGACCCUGGUUCAACAGGACUCAGAGCAGGAACAGUGGAUUCUACUGAAUCAGCUGCAAUUUCUUGAAGAGUUUCAUAGAAAGAUGAACUGAUCAUAUGAACCAAAGAGAAAAGGGGAUAGAAAAAUAAAUUCAUCAUCUUCAGAAGAGUGAAAUAACCUAGCACAUUCAUAUAUUCUAAAAAUUUAUCUUCUAGUUUUCCACAUAUAGACCUUAAUGUUUUAUUAAGUUUACAGCUAAGUAUUUCAUUUUUUUGUGCUGUAGUAAAUAGCACUUCAAAUUUUAAUUAAAAGUAAUGUUUAGAUUCAAAUUGUUGCCUGGUGAAAUAUGGAAAAGCAAUUUUAUACAUUCACCUUAUAUCCCCUGGCCCUGCUAAAUUUACUUAUUAGUUCUAGAAGUCUUUUUGAGACUUAUUUGUGGUUCUAUAAAUAGACAAUCAGGUCAGUGAGAAUAGAGACAAUUUUAAUUCUUCCUUUAAAAUCUGUACCCUUUUAGUUUCCUUCAUGGGACGGCACCAGUUAGGACUUCUAUGAUGUAAAACAGGGUUGAUAAAAGAAGGUAGCGUCCCUUUCUUGAUCAACUUAGAAGGAAAAUGUCUCAUUCUCAGUGUGAGGGAUUAUGUGUGCUAUAGGAAUUUUUGUAGAUAUAUAGAUUUAAGA